Molecule: long non-coding RNA, 571 nt
Filed under: Capra hircus (goat)
Lineage: Eukaryota; Metazoa; Chordata; Mammalia; Artiodactyla; Bovidae
Description: lncRNA (ENSCHIG00010013249.1)
Source: RNAcentral
GUCUCUCCUGGGCCUCCGGCUCCGUCCCUCAGGGUCUGAACCUUUCUGUCCCCUCUCCUGUGGGUCGUGGUCUCUCUCACUGUCCACAGGCAGGCCUUGGAGCUUUAGUCUGGCCUGGCGCUGGGGCUGGGGGGAGGUUCCAUGACAGUUGGAGGGGUUCCAGGAGGUUGGGACGUUGGCCAUGGACUCAUGUUCUACUCUAGGUGCACUGGAACCGAUCUCUUCAUGGGAGGAGGACCGCAAGUUCGUCCUGCGAGCCUGGUGUCUCGUCUUCAUCAUCCUGGCAACCAUGAUGCUGCUCAGCGUGCUGGACGGGCGUAUGGCCUACCUGCACGGUUCCUACACCGGCUACGUGGGCUUCUGGACCAACUGCGAGAAGCACACGUGUGCCGACCUGCGCCAAGUCACGGUUCUCAUCCACAUGAGCAUGGGCCUCAUGAUCCUGGCCAUGAUCCUGUCUCUAGUCCUCCUCCUGGCCAUGGGCUUCUCCUUCCGGCCCGCGCUCCGCCGUCUUAACAAGACCGACCUCGUCUUCAGUACCCUCAGCUCCUUCACUGUGCAGGGCUCCUGA